UGGAAAAUAACUCAACACAGCCCGAUACCGGGGUGUCACUAGUCAUGAGCAUCUAUAAGUCAUAAUACAAGUCUGCUAAGUCUAUAAGCUAGUACAAAUGUCUGAUCAGAAAUAGAAAUGAUAAAGAGGGAGAAACACAGGUCUGCAGAUGUCAAGCAACUACCUCGUGAACUCCGAAUGUACGCUGGGAGCUCUCAACUCGCACUGGCAGGAUCAACAAUGCCUAAAUCUGCACACAGGGGUGUAGGGAGUAAAGUGAGUACUCCAACUCAGUGAGUAACAAAUGUAAAUAAAGACUAAAAGCAAGAAAUCACGUAAAGCACAAAGCGUUCUAUAAUGAAGCAGUAGGCUUUUCAUGAAACUACGUUUGAGUUAAGGAAUUUUACCUAUCUUUCACUGAUUUACUGAUUUUAAAUGGUUUUUUUCAAUAAUUAAGUAGGAAAUUGACAAUCAAUUGUGAAAAGUAAACACAUAAAGGCUCGCCCCUCAGGCACAGUAUCAACAAAUUCGCCCCUGAGGCAACAUCUCAAAAUAGUACCAGCCCCUCGGGCAAUCACAUAGCACAAUACCAGCCCCUCAGGCUCAAUCUCACAUCACAAUGGGUACCCGUGCUCACUGGGAGUGUACAAACUCCUAGAGGGGGCCAUUACGAUCCAAGCGCAAUAUCAAGCCACCUCGUGGCAUCAUCACUAGGCCCUCGACCUCAUAUCAAUCAAGCCAGCUCGCAACGUACAUAUCUCAUGCCCUCGGCCUCAUAAUCGGUAUCAAAUGUUUCCUCACAACAUAGGCCUUCGCCCUCACUCAGUCAAAAAUCCUCACAAGCCACUCAGGAAAUAGUAAAACAUGAUUCUUAGCCCAAAAAGGUCAUUUAAAAGAUCAUAUAAGUGUUAAAAUAGAGUAAACAUGGCUGAGUACGAAAAGAGUGAAAUAUAACAUGAUUGAGUUCAAGUACAAAGUCAAAAUAGUGAGGAAACACUAGUAAAAAUACCCGAAGGGUUCAAAUAGUUGGCACAAGGCCCAAAUAUGGCAUUCAGCCCAAAUCAUUAUGAUAGCAAAUAGAUUUCAGUCAAAUACGCAGUAAAGUAGUCAUUCAGGACGGACCAAGUCACAAUCUCCAACAGUGCACGACCCCACGCUCGUCAUCAAGCAUGUGCGUCACCUCAAUAUAGCACAACGAUGUGCAAGUCCUGGGUUUCAUACCCUUAGAACAUCAUAUACAAUCAUUAAUCACCUCGAACCGGUCAAAUUUCUAGCUCGCGAUGCCUUUGCCCCUCGAAUCGGCCUCCGCUCGCGUCGAAUCUAUCAAAAAUCAGAAGGAGGAUGCCAAAAUAUGCUAAUGGAAUGAAGCCCAAGCAAAAAUAAUUAAUAUGCGACACAAAAUCCCGAAAUUACCAAAACCUGACCCCCGGGCCCAAGUCUCGGAAUUCGAUAAUUUUUACAAUAAUAGAUUCCUUAUCUCCUCACGAGUUCAUACAUAUAAAAAGUUCUGAACUCUGACCUAAAAUGGUCCUUCAAAUUCUCAAUCAAAAGUGUAANNNNNNNNNNNNNNNNNNNNNNNNNNNNNNNNNNNNNNNNNNNNNNNNNNNNNNNNNNNNNNNNNNNNNNNNNNNNNNNNNNNNNNNNNNNNNNNNNNNNNNNNNNNNNNNNNNNNNNNNNNNNNNNNNNNNNNNNNNNNNNNNNNNNNNNNNNNNNNNNNNNNNNNNNNNNNNNNNNNNNNNNNNNNNNNNNNNNNNNNNNNNNNNNNNNNNNNNNNNNNNNNNUGAUUCCCCUUGAAUACCUCUUCAAUCCCCUUCAAAAAGCUCCAAAAAUGACCAACAACGGGAGAAAUAAACCCCAAAAUCGCAGACAAGACGAGUAUUUAAACAUUCUGCCCAGGCCUUAAUUCCUUCUUCACGAACGCGGUGAAAGCCUCGCGCUCGCGAAACAUAAAAUGAAUUUGACCAAAAAUCCUCUUACGCGAAAGCGACAUGCCCAUUGCGAAAGUGAUAGCUCCUCAGAAUUACUCUUCGCGAAUGCACUCCCUCUCUCGCGAACGCGAUGAACAACUCGACCAAAAACCCAGCCGACCAAUAUUUUCCUCUACGCAAACGCGCUCCCCUUCUCGCGAACGCGAUGCACAAACAUCCAGCCCUUCGCGAGCGCGUAGCCUUUCUCGCGAACGCGAAGGCUUAAAUCCGAGCCUUCAUCAACUGAACCUUCACGAACGCGAGGACCCACUUGCGAACGUGAAGGUCUAAAUCUUCUGCAACACACAUCAGUUUUCUGCAAUUUUCAAUAUCAUGAAAUGGUCAGAUUGACCGCCCGAAACUCACCCGAGGCCCCCGGGACCUCAACCAAACAUUCUAACAUAUCCCAUAACCUCAUUCAAACUUUUUCCAACCUUCGGAAUGCUCAAAACAACAUCGAAACAUCAAAUUCACAUUGGAUUCAAGCCUAAGAAUUCCAAAAUCUUCUAAAUUACGCUUUUGAUCAAAAAUCCAACCAAACCACGUCUGAAUGACCUGAAAAUUUGCACACACAUCCCAGUUGACACAAUGGAACUACUUCAACUCUCGAAAUUCCAUUUCGAACCCUAUAUCAAAAUCUCACCUACCAACCGGAAAUCACCAAAAAUCCACUUUCGCCAAUUUAAGCCUAAAUCUACUCCAGACCUCCAAAACUCAUUCCGAUCAUGCUCCUAAGUCUCAAAUCACCCCCGAAGCUAUCCGAACCAUCGGAACUCACAUUUGAUCCCUCUAACACAUAAGUCAACAUCCAAUUGACUUUUCUAGCUCAAGCUUCCUCAAAAGUGACUAAGUGUCUCAAACCUUACCAAAAUCAUUCCAGAUUCGAUCCGACCAACCUGAUACCACAUAACACGGAUAAACAAAGCAUAAAGAAGCAGAAAUGAGGUAAAUGGAGCGGUAACUCAUGAGACGACUGGUCGGGUCUUCAUAGAAAGGGAUUCAAAGAAAAUAAACAAUGGAAUAGACAAUGAAUUUAGACAAGAGGUAUCCCUUUCGGGGAAAGGAAAGAAGGACUUAUCUGGAGUACAUGCGGACUUCAAUGAACGUGACAUGCCUUUUGGACUGGAUGCAUGAUCUGUGUAAACCGUACGACUCUUAGAAAUUCAUCACAACUUUUGCCUCAGAACUGAGAAACCUUGCCCAGGACUGUGUUGACGCUCAUGGCCAUGAAGAUCCUCUUUUCGAUCAAUGGUGCUCUUUUGGGAGUUUUAACCAACUGGCCUCUCUCAUUUCUCUUCUUACCAUCACCUUACGAUGCCCACGAAUUUCCUUUCUCUCAUUUUGAUUGUAUCAGAUACAAGCGAUGGUAUCCUCUAAUUCUUGAACAUUCUCAUUAAUUGAUCAGAAGGACUUGAAUAGGAUUUGGGUAAAAAGGAUUUGGAUUGAAUUACAACUUUGGAAUCUUUCGCGCAAAACCAUCACCGAACCAUUAUAAUAUCUGCCUCAGAGAGAGGUUGUGUCAUGACCCAAAUUAAGACUGUGACCGACGCUCAGGAGCUAGUGCUCCCAAGUAAGCCUCAUCGGAAAUUUUACAGAAAAUCAGACAGAAUUUCCCCUGUUUUUGGACCACCCCAAAAAUUUUCCUGUCUCAAAUCAGCAACAAACAUCCUAAUAGCAUUUCAAAUGACAAUGACUUUAUCAAAUAACCAAAAUAAUCUACUUUUAACAGUUCACCCACUACCAACUAGAAAUACUACUAUAUCUCCAAAUUUUUAUAGGAAUGAGCGUUACUCAACAUAAGUCUAUAAUAACAAAGACUACUCAAGACACUAAAAGAAUGACCAUGGAGCGACUCUAAGAGUUCAAAAAAGACCAUGAAAAUAAAUAAAAUCUCUGCCCACGUGAACAAGUGCAAGGCUCACCGAGAACUAUCAAUCUGUGCGCUUUAAUUAACGAAAUCCUUGCCUGCGUCAGCUGCUGUCUCUGUAAAAAAAACUUAGCGGGGAAUGAGUCACUAGCUCAGUGAGUAAUAACACUUAACCACAACCGUUUUUAUUGGGAACAAGUCAGAAAACAUGCUAGUAUAUUAAACAAAAAAUAACAUAAGAAUGCCCUUUCGGAAACAAUAAAUAAUUUUCAGUCUCAUCAUGUUUUUUUUGUAAUAUAAUACACUUGACAAUUCUGUAAUAAGCUCGGUAACCACUGUAUAAUAUUAAUAUUCAUAUUUUGGUAGGUUUCAAUGAACGGAUCAUGUAAACGGCAUAACAGUGGACUUCUUUGCAAGAAGUCAUAUAUAACGGUAGUCCCUACUUGAGGAAAAUCGCUAACGGUAUGCUAGUUCUACCUUCCCACUAGCGAGGGCUAUAACGGUAACCGGUAAUUACAAGGUGCACCAAGUCUAACGAACCCACCGUUAUCUACAGGAUCCUUCAAUGGCUACUCCCAUUUAUAUUUGUCUCUGUAAUCCGUAUAUACUCGUAGAAACUAUUUUAAAACAAUAUAGGGCAUUUCGGUUCUUAUCAAAUCAUGAAAUUUCAUUUCGAUAACAGUAAAUUCAAGUAUCGAUAAAAACAUAUCUAGUAACGAUAAAAACAUUUAGGUUAACCGGUAACCAUCUCAAGUAAAUUAUUCGGUACUAUGCCAAGUAAAGGACUUGUCCCACUUGCAAAUUUCAAAGCAUCGAUAACACAUUUAUUUUCAAAAUCAUAUAUAAACCAUGCAAGUUAUUAAAACACAAAUUGUGGUAAGAUUACUACUCACAGUACUCGUGCGAAAUACCAAACUCUUCACCUCGACGAUCCGUACGACUUUCUUCAAUCAAUCUAUAACCACAUCAACACCGAUCUCGUGUUAAUUGCCUCAUUUAGGCUAAAUUCAUCACUAGUUUAGAAUAUCCAAUCCUCCGAGUUUUAUAUUUAACUCUUAAUUCGGCGAAUUAUAGUUACCAAAAUAUGAUUAAUUACUAAUCUAUCAACUCCAACCUAUUCAUAUAAUUUAUUAAUCCAAUAUCAUAAAGUUCUAUUGAUUCUUUAGGACGGAAAUUCUCAAUCGUUAUGUAAUAAUUAGCUAAUCAUUAGAAUUAAAAUUGAAGGCAAUAAACUUUGAAACAGUGUAUAGCAAAACCCGAAACACACCGUGUACUCUUUUCUUAACAUUAUGCACAUAACCUAUAUUUAAUUCAACUCCUUAAUAUGCAUAAUAAUUUCCAUCAUUAGACAAUUAUUACUCCACACACAUUCUGCCCCAAUUAUUAGGUAAUCAUCAUUCCCAAAAUUUAAAAGAAUAAAUCCCGUAGAAGAGUAGUAAUUUUUUUCUAGCAGCAUGUUUGUUUCUUCUAUAUCCAAUUCCCAGAAGUCAUUGCUAUAUUAUUCCCUUGUCUCCAGAUAAUUGGUAAGAUAAUUACAAACUAAAUUAUGUGUAAGGUUAGUGUCAUGUAUAGGGAUAAAUACCUGAAUUCUAGUUUCCUCCCUCACUUUUCUUCUCCAACUAUGGUCGUCGCUCACCCGAUUUCGCUUCUCUUCGUUCUAUUUUUUUUCUUUCUUUCUUAGCGUUUUGUAGCUUCUAUUGUUUAAUAGCAGAUUUGCUGCCUUUUGCCCUUUUCGUUUCUCUUUCCAAUGGGCUUUAGCCCAUUCUCCUAUUAUUAUUAUAUAUAUAUAUACUGGUUAAAGACUUAUAUCCCCUUAUUAAUAUAUAGGGUAUUACAGGCUGUCUACGUAUCCUUUCGGAAUCAAGUCAAACGUUCAAGAAACUUUGUUUUUUAUUUUCUUUUGUUUUUCUUUUGUUUUCUUUUCUUUUCUAUUUUUUUUCUUUUCCUUUUUCUUAUUUUUUUUUCAUUUUUCAUUUCAUUUUCUUUUGGUCAUUUUUUUUCAAUAACACUUUCAGGUUUCAAAGAGGGUAAUCAAAGGAAGGUAACCGGCUCAAAGGGUUGGAUAGCGAGAAAGAAAGCCUUCGUCAUCCCAAUCGGAGCAUUAAUGCUAGAUAGAAGAUCAAACAUAGUACCUUUUGACUGCACCAGCGUUGGCAGUUAUUUCAGGGAUAUUUCCUCCGAUAUUUUCCAAGUACAACGCUUUCUUUUGGCAGUACGCUCGUUACCAUCUAUGGAUCUUUCUAGUCUGAAGCCAAUUUUCCUUUAGUUGUUCCGAUUCUUUAUUUUAUUUCCUUAAACCUAUUUUCAUUGCAUUCUGAUUCUUGAUUUAUUAUUUCGAAGUCCAAUAGUGUUUUAGGAUCUGGGCAUGAAGUCUGCAAGCAUGUCAUGUCAUUAAAAAUCUGCAUUAACAGAACUGAAAAGAGAAUAAGAAAAGUGACAAAAUUAAGAACAAAGACAUCCCUGGAUAAUGAAAUAUUAAUUUCAUUAGUUUUUUUUUUGAAUUUUAAAGAUAGAAGAGUUUACAUCGGAAAGUAAGAUAAUAAAGUAAAAUAUCCGGAUCACACCCUGAGAUAAUCCAGACACAGAAAGGAUAACAAGACUGGCUAUCGAGACUCCCAUCUGAUGGGGGAACUUUCAGGCUUGGCGACCGUUUUUUGGCUUUUCUUCUGUCUCGGGAAUGGAUGCAAUGGCCUUCAGUGCCGGAUCAAAAUCCUCAUCUUCACAAAUAAUUCCGACUAUUGGCCCAGUGUUGUGAGCAGGCAACGGAUUGCUCGUCACGUCAGGAGCCUCUUUGUCUCGAAGAACGAUCCUUUCAGCUUCAAUCAAGUCUUCAACUGCCCUUUUGAGGGUCCAACAGUCCUCAGUACUGUGUCCCACUGCUCCGGAGUGGUAUUCACAUCUAGCAUCAGCUCGGUACGAGGGUGAAUCGGGGUUCGGCCAGUUUGGGGCCACUGGCUGUAACAGAUCUAGCUUGAAUAUCUUUUGGAACAAACUUGAAUAUGAUUCACCAAUAUGGGUGAACUGAUUCUUUCUGAAAGGCUCUUUUAGGCGAGGAUUGUACUGUGGAAUAUUUGGUUGGGGAUUAUAUGGAGCUUGGUAAGUAUGGCCAUUUCUGGGAGGUGGAGCUCGAUUUUGUGUAUAAUGUUGUGGCCGCGUGUAAGGUUGCACAUUCAUCACCAUAUAGGGAGGUGAUGCCACGGCAUAAGCAGCAUCUUGAUGGGGAUAAUAGUGUUGAGGGACCUCAGGAAGUAUAUAUGAUUGGUUGAAUGACCUGCGGGUCCUCCUCGAGCUCGAAGCCAUCAUGGCUCCCUCUUCUCUCCCAUUUCUGUUCAUCAAACGCUUCGAACCAUUCUGAGCAGCCUGUGAUAUGGCCUUAAUAGAAGCAUGACUCAAGAUUCUGCCCAUUUUUAACCUAUUUUCUACCAUCUCCCCAAUUUUGAUAGCCUCAACAAACGGCUUACCUAUAACAGACAUCAAGUUUUGGAAGUAGUCCGCCUCUUGAGCCUGUAGGAAGGCCGUAACCAUUUCAGCUUCGUUCAUUGGAAGCUUUACCCUGGUGGCUUGCUCGCGCCAUUUGACAGCAUAUUCACAGAAGCUUUCUGCUAUUUUCUUUUUCAAAUUGGACAAAGAGUUUAUGUCGGGAGCGAUGUCCAUAUUAUACUAGAAUUAAGAGUUUAUGUCGGGAGCGAUGUCCAUAUUAUACUAGAAUUAGCGAGCGAAAUCUCGGGCCAUAUCGUCCCACACAUGCCAAUGGCUAAUUUCUUGAUCCGUAUACAACUCAAAAACGAUUCCAGUGAGACUUUCUCCAAAAUAGGCCAUUAGCAGCUCAUGUUUUCCACCAGCAGCCCUUAGUUGGUUACAAUAUCUUCUCAAAUGAGCAACCGGGUCUUCAUACCCGUCGUACUUUUCAAAUUUUGGCAUCUUGAAAUCAGCUGGCAAGUGAACAUGGGGAAACAUACACGGGUCGUAGUAUAAAACCCUCUUUUGGCCACUCAGACCUUGCAUGUUUUUCAGACUUUGUUCCAUGCUCUUUAUCUUCCGAGCCAUUUCCUCUUGCUCGGGAUUCUUGACAACCUUUUCCUGUCCCAUCGAAGCGUCACAUUGUGGAGGUUGAGUAAAUGAGUAUGGGGUCACAUAUGUUAUUUCAAGUUGAAACUGUAGACUUUGAAAGGUGAACAUUGGAUGCUCAACAUACGGCCAUGGUAAAGUUGGUUGUGCUGUAGUGCAGAUUGGUGCUGUAGAGAACAUUGUUGGCAUUGCCUUUGAGACCGGCGCCUGGGGGCGAACCACAGAAGGCAUUCGGGGACCAUUAGACGGCAUUGGACGUACCCGCAUAGGAUAAACGGGUUGGGUACAAAGGCGUUGGUAGCCUCACCUGACUUGGGGAUCAACUUAGGGAACCUAGGGAUUGCACUUGGCGAUUCCCUACCAUUAGACCAGGCAUCCCACAUUUCCAAUAUGCGGAGACGCAACAUCCUAUUCUCUUCAGCAACUGCUGAUUCUGCUUGUGGAAUUGUCGAUGCUAGGCUAUCCUCAGGAUCGCUAAUUGGUAGAUCACUUUCGGAGGCCAUAGGAACCUUUCCUUUGGAUCUUGUAAAGUAAGGAUGAGAAACCAGAUUACCAACAAAACCAACUACCUGAACAGAACCUGGCUAAUUUCCACACCCAACAACCAUGUUAGUUUUGAGACGCUUAACAGAUCGGAAAUCGCAUGUCUGGAUACAAUGCACCUAAAUAGUUAAACACUUCUACCAUGUAUUUGAACGGUUGCAUAUUUCAUCCCGGCCUUAAACUAACCCUUUUUUCACUGUACCUCUUUUCUUUUAUUUCUGCCUCUAUUUUAUCAAUCUUGAUUUUUCUCUUUUUUCCGCUUUUUUUUUUGCACUCUCUUUUUCUCUUUUUGUUUUUGUCACUCUUUUUUUUUCCGCUUUUUUUUCCUUUUAUUUUUGUCACUCUUUUCUUUCUUUUUCACUCAACUUUUCUUUUUUUAUAUUAUUUUUUCACUCAAUUAAUUUUAUGGCUAUGAUCGAAUCCAAUGGGGAUUGCCUACAUAUCAUGACACCGCACUAAUCAGAUAUUUUACGUAGUUCAGGAAUACUAGGAACAAGGUAAAUGCGUUAACCCUUUUUAUAAUUUAUUCAAUAUUUUUAAAUAGGCAAAUCAUACCUCAAAAUCUUCUAACAAGGAAAACAUUUUGGAUUUUGGAUUUUGAUUUUUUUUUGGAAAGAAAAACUUCUAAAAAUUCUUUUUUGUUUUGAACUUUCGGAAAUUCAAAAGUAAAAAUAAAAUAUUUUUGUUUGAAUUUUCAUUUGUUUUCUCUUUUUCUAAAGAAGAAAAUAUUUUUGAAUUUUAGAUGUUGCCUCUUAAUUUUUGAAAGAGGGACUUUUAAGAAAAUAUUUUGGAUUUAUGAGUUUUUUUUUAAUUUACAAAAGUACUUCUAAAGAAAAGUGAAAAUAUUGUUGGACUUUAAUUUUUCAAUUUUUUAUGACAUUUACGAAGAAAAACUUUUAAAGAAGGAAACGAGUGGAUUUUCGUUUUUUUUCUUUUUGGAAUUUUUGGGAAAAAUACUUCAAAAUAAAGGAAACCCGUAUUUUGGAUUUUGAUUUUUGAUUUUUCUUUUCUUUUUUCGUAUGAAAGAAUUUGGAAAGAAGAAAAAUAUUUUUGGGUUAAAAACCUUUUUUUCUUUUAAUUUUUUAAGGAAAGACUUCUAAAGAAGGAAUUAAGGAAUCGAAAAAUAUUUUUGGAUUUUCUUUUUUUGAAAACUGGGUCUCAAAGAAAGAUUUCCAAAGAAGAAAUAAGAAUUAUUUUAUUUUUUUAUUUUUAUUUUUUGGAUUUUGAAAAAUAGGACAGGAAUCAAUGAGGUUUGCCUACGUAUCUCACAUCCAGUGAGAAACAAACCCGCAUAGUUCGGUCAGUUUUGACGCAACAGGAAAAUAUGACUUUAUGAAAAUAUUGGCUUAUUUUUUUUUUGUUAAAAAAUUUCGGUAGAGUUUCGAAUUUCAAAUACUCCUCUCACUCUUGUUUUUUUUUAUUUAUUUUUUUACCUAUUCUAGAAGCCAGUCAACAUGCAAACUGAAACAAACAGAUGCGCAAGUAGCACUUAAGAUGCAUCAGGAUGGACUUUUAAUUCGGGUACACCUAUCCUAGACGGACCCAACCCCUGUGUUGAGUCCCCAAAGUCAAAUGCACGUGAUGCAAACAAACGUUCCUACUAGGAAUCCAUCAUGAGGCUAUGUUCUUCUAAGUUAAAAUUCUGGGUGUAUUAUUUUAGAACUGACUUACCCGAGCGGACAACUUGAGUCGGGGGGGAGGGGAGGUGCAGCAUACUGGGAAUACAGAAGCUUCACCGGCUUUGCAACUUGUCCGAACCUCGUUCUAAAUUAGGUUAUGAUACUAACAGAAAAGAAGUCACGCCAGCGUGCACUUCCCAGAAGAUUUAGAAGACUGAGAGAGAAGAAGGGUUUCGUAACAGGUUAUAUACAAUUCACACAAUAUCAAAGCGGUAAAAAGCGGCAUUUAGCACAUUAGGCUCAAACACGUAAAAAUCAGAUAAUAAAUAAAAGCCAACUAUAAUAGUUAUUCUAAGCUCGAAUUAUGAACUCUGAACCAGAGAUUCUAGGUUCUUCUCCCCAGCAAAGUCGCCAGAGCUGUCACACCUUUUUUUUCACGAAGGGAUAGGGGAGUUUUUCCAAUUUAAGUGUCGAAAUGGAAUUAUUUAUUUGAUUUCAGAGUCACGACUUGGAAUAUUUACAGUGUCCCAAGUCACCGGUUUAUUUUAAAAUCCCAAAUCGAGGAAAUUUGACUCUGUUUUAAAGUUUGCGAACACAGAAAAUCGGGUAAGAAAUUCUGUUAACCCGGGAGAAGGUGUGACGCACUCCCGAAUUUCGUAGUUGUAGCACAGUCGCUAAACUAUUAAUAAUUGGCCUAAUUAUCUAAUUAAUUACAUGUUUAAAAUUAUUGUGCACUUUUAUCUUCUAACCGCCUUUUAAUUAUUCAAUUAAAUGCUUUUAGUAUUUAUGGAGUUUAUUUAAAUAAGUUGCGAUAUCUCGCACUUAUUAUUUUUUGUACACAUUGUGAAUCGCGUCACGUGAAACGCACCUGUGAUCCACAAUAUAUUUAUUUUGUUAUUGUUAUUUUGAGUUAUGGUCGAGUCACGUGACGCCCACACUCGAAUUGGGGUUUACAUAUCGUGACCAUGCCACGGGAACCAUACCCAUGGUCAUGAUGAUUUAUUUAAUCGUACCUAAAGCAAACUACAAUUGUUCAAAAGUUGCUUAAUUUUCCUACGUUUGGAAUCAAGCGUGAAAGCCAAAAGCCAUGGAGCUUUUCACCGCAGAUUCUAAAUUUCUACCUUUCAACACUACCCCUAAUUUAGCAACCACAAAUUCCUUAUGAAUCACUUACAUCCAUUUAACUGAUUUGAACAAUUCAAUUUAACGUUGUGGUCACAAAGGACAAAAUAUCACCAACAGUAAGGUCGUUUAACAGAAAGAAAAAUUUCAGUAUAGAGACUAUUAACAACCAAGAAAUUUAGACUUGAAAACCAUCUGGUCAUUAAAACUUGACAUCUCCCAAAAAAGAAGUAAUUCCAAAAUAAGCUUUAUAGACUACAACACAGGCAUAGUUUCAUUGAAUCCAUAAUACAGUAUGUUGUGCUUGUAUCAAACAAUUAAUAUGCAACAACAAAACUUCAGCAAUGUCCCGAUCAAUAGAGCACUUCUACAACUAAUGUUGAAGAAAUGUACCAGAAAUUUCAAGCCACACUAGCACCACUAUUUCACAAAACCGGCAUAACAGAACAUCGAACAAAACUACACUUAAACAGAGAAUAAUUCCAGUUUAACAUUCAAGCCAAAAUGAGCAACAAACUAAAAUAGAUGAAUCAUAAUCGUAUUCAGUGACGAAUUUAUGAAAUCAGUUGGGAAUAUGGCUUGAAUAACUCAGAUCUUCAUUCAUAGAUUUGAAGCGAAAAACAGAUGAAUAUUUACAUACCUAAUUGCCGAAAAUCUAGAAAUGGAAGAUGAAUCUCGAACUCCUCUAAAUCGAACAAAGAAUGAGGCUGAAGUGAGCCAAAUGAAGGCCGAAAAUAGCGGAUGAUGCUCAAGCCAACAGCAAAGAGAAGCAGCAGCGAGUUCCUCAGCAAACCAGAAAGUUAAUACCGAAAUCCAGAAGAAAAUGGAAGCUCCUUGUUCAAAUUCUAGUUUUCCUUUCUAAUUUGGAGCUUUUUGAGUUUUCCAGAUCUGGGAUUCAAGAAUUUUUAAUGUCUUUCAUGCGGUGAAGUGAAGAAGAAAGAACCGCCAUGGGAGGGGAGGGUCCGUUUAGUUUUUUCUUUGAAAUGGAGGGAAAGUCCACGUGGAGAAGACGAUGAACAAGGCGACGACGCUGCUAGGUUAGGAAAUGAGGGUCCAAUAUUUCAUCUCUACUUCUAUGUGUGUGUUGUGUAUGGUGUCGCCGAUUUUUGAUGGUGUGUAGCUAAGGUAUGGAGCAUUUUUCAUGUGGAGUUAAAAGGGUGGGAACGGCUGGCUCUAGGGUUCCCAAAUGGGGG
RNAcentral lists this long non-coding RNA (12358 nucleotides) under Nicotiana tabacum (common tobacco). Its description in RNAcentral is "long non-coding RNA (NTAB_LNC003315)". Lineage: Eukaryota; Viridiplantae; Streptophyta; Magnoliopsida; Solanales; Solanaceae. The record is from RNAcentral.